Molecule: long non-coding RNA, 531 nt
Filed under: Solanum tuberosum (potato)
Lineage: Eukaryota; Viridiplantae; Streptophyta; Magnoliopsida; Solanales; Solanaceae
Description: long non-coding RNA (STUB_LNC008929)
Source: RNAcentral
GAAAAUAGUUGAGUUUAGCUGAGUUAUGGUGUAAUACGGCUUACCACACAGCCAUCCAGAUGACUUCCUUUAAAGCCUUGUAUGGCAAUGAUCCUCCCAUGUAGUCCUUUAAAUUAGUAGCACAAUCUCGGGUGAACUCAGUUGAUGAAUGGUUGUGUGAAAAACAGAUCAUCAGCAAGGUGUUAUAGGAAAAAAUGAAGAAAGCUCAAGAAAUAAUGAAACUUUAUGCUGUUUCUAAGAGAACACAAAGAGUAUUUGAAGAAGGAGCUUGGGUUUACCUCAAACUUCAGUUGUAUCGCCAAUCGUUCAUAACCAUCAUGAGGAAUUUGAUAUUAGCAGCAAUGUACUACGGGCCUUAUCAGGUUGUUCGCAAAAUUGGUCAAGUUGCUUGCAAGUUGAAAUUGCCAAUUGGUUCAAGAAUUCACCCAGUGUUUCACGUAUCACAAUUGAAGAAGAAGAUAGGGAACCAGGUGGUGGCCACAAUAGAACCUCCAAUUUAUAACAAGGAGGGUCAGAUUCUAGUGAAACCUG